AAUUCCAGAGAGAGAUCAUUUGGAUAGAGAACGGAAGGGAGAAGGACAAGAGAGGGAGUGGGGGUCCAGGGGUGAAGAACCUUAGGAGACACCCUCUCUUUUUUAUGAGACCCGUCACCAUUCGCACUGAAGCAAUCCAACUUGAGUUGAAAUUCACUGAAUCCAUCCCACCCGCCUCUCUCUUUCUUUCAAUCUCUCCUUAGCACCUCAAAUUCAAAAAUACAAAUACAGAGAAGGAACCCAAAACCCAUCUCUAUCCAUCAACCCAACCAUCCCCCACAUACCCAGAAAAGGGGAACAACAGCCAAAUGUCAAUAUCUGAUAUCUCUUGGAGUGAAGGUCGUGGCCUUUUCACCUUCUUCCUCUUCGUUAUUGUAAUUUAUUCUUAACCACCAUUUCAACUUCUGUCGCUUUUUAAAAGGAAAAAAAAAAAAAAAACAUUUGGAUCUUUCUCUUUGAUCUUGUUUUCAUAUCCUUUUUCUUGUACUCCUGGAAUUGGUUCUAAAUAGACAAGGUUUGUGGAGACUGGAGAGGGAGGGGGGCUCUGAAAUACAAAAGGUGUUGCAAAGGACCUUUGUUUGUUGUGGCCUCAUCUGGAAACCUGAAACCUUAGCCUCUUUAUCAACACCACCACCUAAGGCAACCAUAUCAGUGCCAAAUCUACAGGUUGAAGUCAGGCUGAGUUAGCAUGGACAUCCAAAGUCUAGAAUUGAAGAACGAAAUGGCUAUGAAGGAUUUGUACAGUCACAGAUGGCAGGCCAAACUUCUGGGGAGUUCAUUUUCUGAUCUUGUUUGCAUUUCUGAAAGUUGAUGCUCUGGCUUAGCUCCUCUUGAAAAUUCACUGGCGCAUGCUGAUUUGAACCUGUUGUCAACCUCCUUGAGUUUGAUUAUAGUCAAAUCUGAAGACUUGGGAGUUGGAACCCAGUGGUCAUCCUUCCUGAAUCCUGAGCAAGUAGCAAUCUGAUACACAUUCAUUGGCCCUCACUUUCAGACCUCCAUCAACAGCAACUGCUGUCAUUGAGAUUAGAGGCCAACAAACUAAUCGUAAAUUGAAAGAAGGUUCAGUCCUGGUUUUGUGAAGAUAGCUGGUUGAGGAAAAUUUAAAUGAGCUUUGAAACUCAGGAGGUGGACUUAAGAUUGCCAGGAGGUUUGAUUAGUGUACAGGCUCACAGAACUGGAGUAAUGGAUGGUAGAGCAAAAGGGUCUGCUGCUUUGGUUGAUAAAAGCGCUAGGCAUUGUCAUCGAUCUCUAUCACAAGGGAACAGACCGGCGAACAGCCGGAAGUCCUUUCCGGCAUGUUAUUUCAGUAUGGAAUCCUUUCUUGUGCUCACCUGUCUCACAGCUUCAUUGCUGAUCCUUCCACUUAUACUACCACCAUUGCCUCCACCACCUUUCAUGCUGCUUCUGCUCCCUAUAGCCAUACUUGCUGUGCUUAUGAUCUUGGCUUUGAUGCCUUCAGAUGUUCGAGAUAUCGCAUCAUCCUACAUGUGAGUGGAAAUGCAAGAUCCAUCCCUUGUUUGAAAACACAAUUGUUUUUCUUUUUUUUUGUAAUUUUGUUUUACUUCUUUUCCUUGAAUGAUUCAAAAAGAAACAAAUAGUUCCUUCUGUUAAUACUUUUUUAUCUCCAGCUUUGGUGGCCUACUUGUUUCAGCUCCAACCCAAGAUUUUGAAUUCAAAACAGGAAACACUCCUGAGAAACCCAAGUUAAUGAUAAUGAUGGACAUAAAUGAUAGUUAUAAGA
Nelumbo nucifera (sacred lotus) is the source of this 1741-nucleotide long non-coding RNA. RefSeq lists it as uncharacterized. The record is from RefSeq and is a predicted model, not a curated record. NCBI's taxonomy places the organism in Eukaryota, Viridiplantae, Streptophyta, Magnoliopsida, Proteales, Nelumbonaceae.